UGAUAGCAGAUCCAGGUCCCGCCUCUGACUCUUUAUGAAAGCUGGCUCGACUCUGUUCAUCACUCUGCUGAUCUCACUGACAUCAUGCUGCUCACCGUCUGCGCUCUGCUCCCUGCUCUGGCAUUGGUCAGUUCACAGAAAGUUGUGACGCAAAAGCCUUCGGUUAUAACAGAAGAUAAGGGAAAAACUGUCACUCUGGACUGUAACAUCGCGAAGGAUGAAAGCAAGUAUGUCUCCUGGUAUAAACAGAUUCCACAAGAAGCUCCACAGUUUGUGUUGAGAUUUUAUCAGUCUUACACCUCUCCUGAUAAAUAUGGAGACAAUUUUUCUUCCACGCGCUUCACAUCUAAAGCCUCUUCAAAAAUCGACUAUCAGUUAAUAAUCAGUAAUGUAGAGGUGGGAGACUCGGCAGUGUAUUACUGUAACACAUGGGACGACUCUGCUAAAGAGCGGGUAUCACAGUGAUGUACACCAUGACAAAAACCUCCUCACUGCUCACACUCACUUCUGCUUUCACACAACACGAGAAACAACAAAAACCUCAACUUCAAAUCACUGGAACUGAAGUGGAAACUCACUUGAUGUUCACUGAAGACACUUUGAAUUCUUCACAGUCGCAGAUCACAGAUACGGUACGACCUUUUAUUCCACAUUUAUGAAAUUCUCAGUUCAGUUCUUUGGCUUUCAUGAGCUCAGUGUGAUCAGGUGAUCUACAGCUGAGAGCUUUUCCCCAGAUUUCCUCUGAUUUCUGUGAUUAGUGACACUGGACCUCCACUCUGACAACCUGAAAAGGCUGUUCCAAAGGAGAGGAGGACAGCUAGGGAUAAGGCUAAAAAGAAAAAAAAAUCACUGCACAAAUGGCUAAU
Non-coding RNA from Neoarius graeffei (lesser salmon catfish), 866 nucleotides. The record is from the annotation of a RefSeq genome assembly. Lineage: Eukaryota; Metazoa; Chordata; Actinopteri; Siluriformes; Ariidae.